Molecule: long non-coding RNA, 210 nt
Filed under: Mytilus galloprovincialis (Mediterranean mussel)
Lineage: Eukaryota; Metazoa; Mollusca; Bivalvia; Mytilida; Mytilidae
Source: RNAcentral
GGGGGCUUUGGUGUGAAAAAUUUGGUUGAUUAUAUAGGGAAUCACAGAAGCAUGACUGGAGCGGGCAUCCCUUUAGGUCAGUCAGCGACCACCCCCCCCCCUUUAUGAAAAGUUCUGGAUCCGCCACUGUAUGUUCACAGAGAUUGGCAACUGUAGCAGUGGUAAGCAAAUUCAAUUGAAAAUAUUCAUCCGACGAGACUUUAACGAGAG